GAUGAACGCUGGCGGCGUGCCUAAUACAUGCAAGUCGAGCGAACGGACGAGAAGCGUUCUUCUCUGAUGUUAGCGGCGGACGGGUGAGUAACACGUGGAUAACCUACCUAUAAGACUGUGAUAACUUCGGGAAACCGUAGCUAAUACCGGAUAAUAUUUUGAACCGCAUGGUUCAAGAGUGAAAGACGGUCUUGCUGUCGCUUAUAGAUGGAUCCGCGCUUCAUUAGCUAGUUGGUAAGGUAACGGCUUACCAAGGCAACGAUGCAUAGCCGACCUGAGAGGGUGAUCGGCCACACUGGAACUGAGACACGGUCCAGACUCCUACGGGAGGCAGCAGUAGGGAAUCUUGCGCAAUGGGCGAAAGCCUGACGGAGCAACGCCGCGUGAGUGAUGAAGGUCUUCGGAUCGUAAACCUCUGUUAUUAGGGAAGAACAUAUGUGUAAGUAACUGUGCACAUAUUGACGGUACCUAAUCAGAAAGCCACGGCUAACUACGUG
This 497-nucleotide ribosomal RNA is filed under the name uncultured bacterium. RNAcentral's name for it is "partial 16S ribosomal RNA". It matches the Rfam family "Bacterial small subunit ribosomal RNA", at positions 28 to 507 of the family's 1533-position model. The record is from RNAcentral.